Molecule: ribosomal RNA, 715 nt
Filed under: uncultured marine bacterium
Lineage: Bacteria
Description: bacterial SSU rRNA
Rfam family: Bacterial small subunit ribosomal RNA
Source: RNAcentral
UGCAGUCGAACGAAGUAGCAAUACUUAGUGGCAGACGGGUGAGUAACAUGUGGGUAUCUGCCCUUUGGCCUGGAAUAACACGAGGAAACUUGUGCUAAUACCGGAUAAGUCUUAACGGAGAAAGCUUUAUGCACCAUUGGAUGAGCCUGCACUUGAUUAGUUUGUUGGUGGGGUAAUGGCCUACCAAGACUGUGAUCAAUAGCUGAUUUGAGAGGAUGAUCAGCCACAUUGGGACUGAGACACGGCCCAAACUCCUACGGGAGGCAGCAGUGGGGAAUCUUGCACAAUGGAGGAGACUCUGAUGCAGCGAUGCCGCGUGAGUGAAGAAGGCCUUUGGGUUGUAAAGCUCUUUCGUCGGGGAAGAAAAUGACUGUACCCGAAUAAGAAGGUCCGGCUAACUUCGUGCCAGCAGCCGCGGUAAUACGAAGGGACCUAGCGUAGUUCGGAAUUACUGGGCUUAAAGAGUUCGUAGGUGGUUGAAAAAGUUGGUGGUGAAAUCCCAGAGCUUAACUCUGGAACUGCCAUCAAAACUUUUCAGCUAGAGUAUGAUAGAGGAAAGCAGAAUUUCUAGUGUAGAGGUGAAAUUCGUAGAUAUUAGAAAGAAUACCAAUUGUGAAGGCAGCUUUCUGGAUCAUUACUGACACUGAGGAACGAAAGCAUGGGUGGCGAAAAGGAUUAGAUACCCUCGUAGUCCAUGCCGUAAACGAUGUGUGUU